Molecule: ribosomal RNA, 372 nt
Filed under: uncultured organism
Description: bacterial SSU rRNA
Rfam family: Bacterial small subunit ribosomal RNA
Source: RNAcentral
CGUAGGGUGCGAGCGUUAAUCGGAAUUACGUGGGCGUAAAGCGUGCGCAGGCGGUUUUGUAAGACAGGCGUGAAAUCCCCGGGCUCAACCUGGGAACUGCGUUUGUGACUGCAAGGCUAGAGUACGGCAGAGGGGGGUGGAAUUCCACGUGUAGCAGUGAAAUGCGUAGAGAUGUGGAGGAACACCAAUGGCGAAGGCAGCCCCCUGGGUCGAUACUGACGCUCAUGCACGAAAGCGUGGGUAGCAAACAGGAUUAGAUACCCUGGUAGUCCACGCCCUAAACGAUGUCAACUAGGUGUUGGGAGGGUAAAACCUUUUAGUACCGGAGCUAACGCGUGAAGUUGACCGCCUGGGGAGUACGGCCGCAAGGUU